GUGAUGCCCUUAGAUGUUCUGGGCCGCACGCGCGCUACACUGACAAGGACAACGAGUUUAUAACCUUCACCGGUAGGUGCCUGGGUAAUCUUUUGAGCCCUUGUCGUGCUGGGGCUAGAUCUUUGUAAUUUUCGAUCUUCAACGAGGAAUUCCUAGUAAGCGUGUGUCAUCAGCGCACGUUGAUUACGUCCCUGCCCUUUGUACACACCGCCCGUCGCU
Molecule: ribosomal RNA, 219 nt
Filed under: Oxyrrhis marina
Lineage: Eukaryota; Dinophyceae; Oxyrrhinales; Oxyrrhinaceae
Description: partial Eukaryotic small subunit ribosomal RNA
Rfam family: Eukaryotic small subunit ribosomal RNA
Source: RNAcentral